Molecule: long non-coding RNA, 337 nt
Filed under: Elaeis guineensis (African oil palm)
Lineage: Eukaryota; Viridiplantae; Streptophyta; Magnoliopsida; Arecales; Arecaceae
Description: long non-coding RNA (EGUI_LNC003854)
Source: RNAcentral
AAAUUUUAAACACCUGUGCCUUCCAUUGUGCCACCAGAAUCCAACACUUAUUUCUCUGAGUUUCAACCUUCUGCGGUCUCUUUCUCUUUUGUGCUCAUCGAUCUUGAACUAGCCCACUUAGGAGGCCCUUUUUUUAUCUUUCUCUAAAUAUUUUUAUAAGUUUUAUGAAGGACCUCAUUAGUGAAGAGAUUUUUUCUUCUUUUCUUUUCUACAUGCACCUCACUCUUCAUGGCUCUUAUUACCUUCAUCCACUGCAUCUGAGGAUGAAGCAAAAUCCACCAGCCUUCUUUGAUGAUAUUUCCUUCUUCUUAGGGAUUUGCAUGUUGAUUCAGUCAUC